This 465-nucleotide ribosomal RNA is filed under the name uncultured bacterium. RNAcentral's name for it is "partial 16S ribosomal RNA". It matches the Rfam family "Bacterial small subunit ribosomal RNA", at positions 28 to 507 of the family's 1533-position model. The record is from RNAcentral.
GACGAACGCUGGCGGCGUGCUUAACACAUGCAAGUCGAACGGAAAGACGCCUUCGGGGGUACUCGAGAGGCGAACGGGGGAGUAACACGUGAGUAACCUGCCCUUGACUUCGGGAUAAAUUCAGGAAACUGGGGCUAAUACCGGAUAGGGAUCCUUGCUGCAAGGUGGGGGUUGGAAAGCUUCGGCGGUUUUGGAUGGACUUGCGGCUUAUCAGCUUGUUGGUGGGGUAGUGGCUUACCAAGGCGAUGACGGGUAGCCGGCCUGAGAGGGCGACCGGCCACCUUGAGACCGACGUGAGGCCGAGGUUCCGAAGGGUGGCAGAAGUGGGGAAUAUUGCACCAUCGGCGGCGGCCUGGUGCAGAAGGGCCGCGGGCGGGAUGACGGCCUUCGUGUUGAAAACCGCUUGUAGCAGGAGCGAAGCUUGUGGUGACGUUACCUGCAGAAGAAGCACCGGCUAACUACGUG